RNAcentral lists this transfer RNA (85 nucleotides) under Pseudomonadota bacterium. RNAcentral describes it as "tRNA-Leu". It matches the Rfam family "tRNA". Rfam says of the family: Transfer RNA (tRNA) molecules are approximately 80 nucleotides in length. Their secondary structure includes four short double-helical elements and three loops (D, anti-codon, and T loops). Further hydrogen bonds mediate the characteristic L-shaped molecular structure. tRNAs have two regions of fundamental functional importance: the anti-codon, which is responsible for specific mRNA codon recognition, and the 3' end, to which the tRNAs corresponding amino acid is attached (by aminoacyl-tRNA synthetases). tRNAs cope with the degeneracy of the genetic code in two manners: having more than one tRNA (with a specific anti-codon) for a particular amino acid; and 'wobble' base-pairing, i.e. permitting non-standard base-pairing at the 3rd anti-codon position. RNAcentral also lists the same sequence under 4 other names. The record is from RNAcentral. Lineage: Bacteria; Pseudomonadati; Pseudomonadota.
GCUGAGAUGGCGUAAUUGGUAGCCGCGCUGGUCUUAGGAGCCAGUGCCGAAAGGCGUGCGAGUUCGAGUCUCGCUCUCAGCACCA